GACGAACGCUGGCGGCGUGCCUAAUACAUGCAAGUCGAGCGAGCGGAACUAACAGAUUUACUUCGGUAAUGACGUUAGGAAAGCGAGCGGCGGAUGGGUGAGUAACACGUGGGGAACCUGCCCCAUAGUCUGGGAUACCACUUGGAAACAGGUGCUAAUACCGGAUAAGAAAGCAGAUCGCAUGAUCAGCUUUUAAAAGGCGGCGUAAGCUGUCGCUAUGGGAUGGCCCCGCGGUGCAUUAGCUAGUUGGUAAGGUAAAGGCUUACCAAGGCGAUGAUGCAUAGCCGAGUUGAGAGACUGAUCGGCCACAUUGGGACUGAGACACGGCCCAAACUCCUACGGGAGGCAGCAGUAGGGAAUCUUCCACAAUGGACGCAAGUCUGAUGGAGCAACGCCGCGUGAGUGAAGAAGGUUUUCGGAUCGUAAAGCUCUGUUGUUGGUGAAGAAGGAUAGAGGCAGUAACUGGCCUUUAUUUGACGGUAAUCAACCAGAAAGUCACGGCUAACUACGUGCCAGCAGCCGCGGUAAUACGUAGGUGGCAAGCGUUGUCCGGAUUUAUUGGGCGUAAAGCGAGCGCAGGCGGAAGAAUAAGUCUGAUGUGAAAGCCCUCGGCUUAACCGAGGAACUGCAUCGGGAACUGUUUUUCUUGAGUGCAGAAGAGGAGAGUGGAACUCCAUGUGUAGCGGUGGAAUGCGUAGAUAUAUGGAAGAACACCAGUGGCGAAGGCGGCUCUCUGGUCUGCAACUGACGCUGAGGCUCGAAAGCAUGGGUAGCAAACAGGAUUAGAUACCCUGGUAGUCCAUGCCGUAAACGAUGAGUGCUAAGUGUUGGGAGGUUUCCGCCUCUCAGUGCUGCAGCUAACGCAUUAAGCACUCCGCCUGGGGAGUACGACCGCAAGGUUGAAACUCAAAGGAAUUGACGGGGGCCCGCACAAGCGGUGGAGCAUGUGGUUUAAUUCGAAGCAACGCGAAGAACCUUACCAGGUCUUGACAUCUAGUGUCAUUUGUAGAGAUACAAAGUUCCCUUCGGGGACGCUAAGACAGGUGGUGCAUGGCUGUCGUCAGCUCGUGUCGUGAGAUGUUGGGUCAAGUCCCGCAACGAGCGCAACCCUUACUUCUAGUUGCCAGCACGUAAUGGUGGGAACUCUAGAGGGACUGCCGAUGAUAAAUCGGAGGAAGGUGGGGAUGACGUCAAAUCAUCAUGCCCUUUAUGUCCUGGGCUACACACGUGCUACAAUGGUCGGUACAGAGGGCAGCGAAAGAGCGAUCUCAAGCGAAUCUCAAAAAACCGAUCCCAGUUCGGAUUGCAGGCUGCAACUCGCCUGCAUGAAGUCGGAGUUGCUAGUAAUCGCAGAUCAGAAUGCUGCGGUGAAUGCGUUCCCGGGUCUUGUACACACCGCCCGUCACACCAUGGGAGUUGGCAAUACCCGAAGCCGGCGAGCUAACCGCAAGGAGGCAGCCGUCGAAGGUAGGGUUAAUGACUGGGGUGA
RNAcentral lists this ribosomal RNA (1489 nucleotides) under uncultured bacterium. RNAcentral describes it as "bacterial SSU rRNA". It matches the Rfam family "Bacterial small subunit ribosomal RNA". The record is from RNAcentral.